GUGGUAACGGUAGCCUAGUGGUCAUGGUUGCGAACUCAUGUUUCGUAGAGUUGCGGGUUCGAACCCUGCUGCCACU
Nephila pilipes (giant wood spider) is the source of this 76-nucleotide non-coding RNA. The record is from the annotation of a GenBank genome assembly. Lineage: Eukaryota; Metazoa; Arthropoda; Arachnida; Araneae; Nephilidae.